This 79-nucleotide antisense RNA is filed under the name Enterococcus thailandicus. RNAcentral's name for it is "Enterococcus sRNA 84". It matches the Rfam family "Enterococcus sRNA 84". From Rfam's summary of the family: Name 'Ref' stands for RNA in E. faecalis. Lineage: Bacteria; Bacillati; Bacillota; Bacilli; Lactobacillales; Enterococcaceae. The record is from Rfam by way of RNAcentral.
AACCAACAACAACCUUUAUUUACUCUCAUUGAGUAAGUAGCCUUUUCCACCGAGCCUAACCAACUCGGUGGUUUUUUGA